RNAcentral lists this transfer RNA (82 nucleotides) under Cordylochernes scorpioides. RNAcentral describes it as "tRNA-Val". Lineage: Eukaryota; Metazoa; Arthropoda; Arachnida; Pseudoscorpiones; Chernetidae. The record is from RNAcentral.
UGUCCAAUGCGGGGAUCGAACCCGGGUCGUAGUGGUCGUAAACCAAACGGUUUAACCAGCCUUCCACCUAAACUAACUUAAC